AAGGCUGACUUCACAGAGUCUGGGUGACCUCACUACCUGACACCAACAGAUGGUAGAUUGACCAUAUAGAGAUGUUUUCCAGAGCUGUGGACAUAGUCAGAAAGGGGGCUCUAGCCCAGCACUGGAAAAAGGAUCCUGGCUAGAAGAAACAAGUUCUUUCCAGCCUUCCUCCUUUCCUUAUAGCCCCCUCAACUAUACACGACAAAGAAUCCUGGGGAAUAGGGAGACCACUUUAGAUCAGUUGAUCUGCGAAGGCCUCCCUGAGGAGGUGAGCCUGGAUGACAAGAAAUGGUAAAAGAGGGCUCCAGAACAUGGAAGUAACAAGGUCAAUGCCUCGGGAAUGGGCAGGCUCAGUGUUCAGGAACUGAAGAGAGGCCAGUGUGGUUGCAACACAGACCAGCCCUUCUCUUGAUCCCAGCCACCAGCAGAGAAGCUACCAUAACAUAUGGGGUUCCAGUGAGACCAUAUAAGGAGAGUGUACCACAGCAGAUGCCUGAUGGAGACAUUCCAGUGACCACCAGGUUGUAUUCAUCUUCUGCAGCUGCCAGAUUACCACAAACCUAGUCACUUGAGA
RNAcentral lists this long non-coding RNA (574 nucleotides) under Felis catus (domestic cat). RNAcentral's name for it is "lncRNA (ENSFCAG00000049009.1)". Lineage: Eukaryota; Metazoa; Chordata; Mammalia; Carnivora; Felidae. The record is from RNAcentral.